Long non-coding RNA from Piliocolobus tephrosceles (Ugandan red Colobus), 5295 nucleotides. The record is from Ensembl. NCBI's taxonomy places the organism in Eukaryota, Metazoa, Chordata, Mammalia, Primates, Cercopithecidae.
AUGAAUACGUUGUAUAUUUUAGUAGCUGAUAGUAAAGUACAAUUUAUGACAUAUUUUUAUUUUUUAGAUUUAUUAUAUAAAGUAGGAACGUUUGAUUUUAUAUUUAAUAUGUUUAAUUAUGUAAUGAAUGUUUAUAUAUCUUUAUUAGGGAUUUAUUAUAAAAAAAAAAUGGAACAAAAACAAAAUGUUAAUCACGAUUUUAUUAAUUAUAUACCAAUACAUAUAAGUAAAAAUUAUACUUGUACGAAUACAUAUUUUGUUAGAUAUAUUAUAAGACUUAUGAAAUAUUUUGUCGGUUUUAAUUUGAGCACUAUACAAAUAUAUAUACAAAUUACAGUCAAAGCAAUUAAUACAUUUUUAGAAUUCUUUUUACAUUUAAUGAGUAUAGGAAAAAUUAACUUAUUUUUCUUUUUUUCCAAAAUGAUUCAUCCUUUUACAAGAUUUGAGGUUGGUACAUCAAAUGAAGCGACUUCUAAAGAAUCAAAACAGUCCAAUACUGACAAUAAAUUCCAAAACGGUGAUAUUUCGCAUAACCUAAAUGGUACUGUAAAAACAGAUCCAGAAAAAGGACAAACAACAAAUAGUGACAUAAUGAAAGAAACACAUAGUGGUACUAGUAGUAGUAGUAGUAGUAGUACCCCUUCUGAUAGUAUUAUUCGCAACAAGUCCGAAUGUUAUACUACACCAAUUGCAGAUAAAAUAAAUGGUUUUUCAAAUAUAGAAAAUAAUAAUAAUCAAUGUCACCGUUCCAAAAGUGAUACAUAUAAAUACACAAACCAGUCUCCUACACAUGCAACUGUUGAUAAUAGUAGUGAUAGUAAACCCACAUUUGAUCAAACAAAAGACGAACAAAAUGAUAAAACAAACAAAAAAGAAAACACAUUUUACUAUGAAAAUCAAUUUUUAUUUACUUUGGACGAAUUUGACAUUAUGAACACAAUAAAAUCUGUGAAAAGUGAUAUUUGUAAUAAUAUAUUUUUUUGGUUAACAUAUAUUAAUAGCACUAGUACAAAAAUAAAUAACCUAAGUAAAAAUAAUAUAUAUAUAAAUUUUAACAACAAUAUUAUACACUCGUUUUUAAAAAUUGUAUUAAAAUUUUUAACACCAUCAACUGAUAUGGAACCAAAAUUUCUUGAACUUUUGGAAAAAGAAAAAAGCAAAGAUAAAAAAGGAGUAGGAGGAAAUAAAGAAAAAGAUAAAUAUGAUAUAUUACCAACUAACAAUACUAGUCUUAGUUUACUUAAUGAAUGGAAAUCUUUAGGUUUUGAUCAUGCUCUACUAGAUGAUUGUCUUAAUUAUUCAGGUACAACAAAUCUCAGUUGUACAGUGAAUUAUGUCGAUAAAGAAAAGAUAGAGUUUUUUUCAGAUGCAUAUCAUAGUAGUACUGAUUAUAAAGGAGUAACAAAAGGGAAAAAAUCGAAUGGUUCUAAAAAAUCACAUACUAAUAGUCAAUCAGAUGCUAGUAGUAAUAUAAUUUUUAAUGAAAAUAAUAGUAUUUGUGAUAGAAUAUCAGCACGUACAUGUGCAUUAUGUACUCGUAACAAUAGAAAUGACGAUUCUGAAGAUUUAAGCAGUGCUAGCAGUAUUAGCAGAAAUAGUAAUGUUUACAAUCAUACUGCUCAUGAUUUGUUAAUAAGGUCACAUUCGAAUUCUGCUCACCAUCGCAAUUAUGAUAAUGAUACUCUUCGUAACAAUGAAAGUGAUAAUAGCGACAAUAUUACAACCGUUUGUGAAUGUCAAAACAUCAAUAACAUCAACAUUAACAACAUCAUAAACAUUAAUACAAAUAACAACUCAAAUAACAACUCAAAUAAUAACACAAAUAACAACUCAAAUAAUAACACAAAUAACAACUCAAAUAACAACUCAAAUAACAACUCAAAUAACAACUCAAAUAAUAACACAAAUAAUAACUCAAAUAGUGAAACAAAUAAUAACACAAAUAGUGAAACAAAUAAUAACACAAAUAACAACUCAAAUAGUGAAACAAAGAAGGUAACACGUGAACAAGAAAAAUGUUUAAAGAAGGCAAAAAAUUUUUUUAAGAGAUAUCCUUCAAUGUUUAAAUUGUAUAAAGAAGGGAAAAUAUCAAAUAAAAACCUUAAGUUAUUUUAUUAUGAAAAAAUUAUGGACCCAAGUAACACAAGCGAUAUGAUCAUAUAUAUACAACACUACUUAAAAGGUUUAAGAAAAAGUUUAUUUAAUUCAUAUAAAGAAGAGGUUUGUAUAAAACCAUUUUGGAAUGAAGAUAAAAUUUUAUUAUUUAAACAAUUUAUAUUUAAAUGUAUAUACAAUAUGCUUAUAAAUUUAAUGAUAACUAUUCCAUAUUCUGAAAAAUCAUUUCUUAAUUUAUAUAUAAGUUUCUUAGUUAUAAAUGUUGAUAAAAUUAGUGUUAAAUUAUUUUUAGAUCAGUAUAAAAAAAAUAUUCAUGACAAAAAUAGUAACAAAAGUAGAAUCUUUAAUCAUCAUGAUAUUAAAAUGAUUAUAUUAUAUUAUUUUAUGGAAAAUAUAUCAAAAAAAAUUAAAUCGUUAAAAAAUGAUGAAUAUUUUAAUAAUAUGGAACAACAUUAUUAUUGUCAUCAUGUGUUUAUGCGUAUGUAUAAAAAAAAAAAUAAAAAUGGAAUUACUACAACUGAUGAAAAUAAUAGUAAAAUGAUUAAAAAGGAGUAUAAAAAAUAUGUACAAGCUGGUAUGGCAGGAGUGUCUCAUAUGACUGAUGUCGUAUCUCAUUCACCGGGUUUAACAGGUGGUACUAUAAGUAACAAUAACAUAGGAACUAAUUCUUUACCAAAUGAACAUUCUAAUUUGAUAUUAAACGAAACGAAUAACAUUAAUACUUCUACUAUAACAGAUCAAAAUAACUCAACUAUUGUAUCUAAUAUGCACACAUUAAAUAAUAAUAAUAAUAAUAAUAAUAAUAAUGCUCUCAUAGGUACUAUUAAUAAUGAUAAUGUAUUGAAUGUUUCCCAAAGUAACAAUGUAUCAUGUGAGAGAAGUAUCAACCAAAAUAAGCCUACAAAUAAUAUCUCUGACAAUACUGCAAAUGAUAAUAAAAAUGGACCAUAUAACAUACGCGAAAUAAAAUGCACAAAUGAUACUAAACAAUGUUUGAAUUACAUGAAAGAUAACAUUGAUGUAAUAUACUCAUCUCAAAAAGAAAUGGAAAAAUAUAAUUACCAUUUAUGUUUGUAUAUGCUAUUUUUUAUGUUAUAUUACAUUAUACAUCAAUCGAGUAUAGCUAAAAAUAUAAUUCUUCAUAUAGAUAGAAACAUAUUAGAUUAUUGUUUUUAUUUUAUACAAAAGUUUAACUUAGCACAUGUUAAGCAUAUAGAAAGUAAUGUAAAUUAUUUAUUAAAAAAAGAUGCGGAAGAGAAACAGAUGGAGUCUUGUCAACAAGUUAAACAUGUUGGAAAUGUUGGAAAUGUUGGAAAUGUUGGAAAUGUUGGAAAUGUUGGAAAUGUUGGAAAUGUUGGAGACGUUGGAAAUGUUGGAGACGUUGGAAAUGUUGAUAACGCUUUGAAGUCAAACGAGUUUAACAACCAAAUGGGUCAAACUAUCGACAAUGAAAUUCACAGAGAUAUCACUUCAAAUAAUGACCUCUUUUUGCAAAGCUAUAAUGUGGAAAAAAAUAAAAAAAAAAGAAAACUCAACAAAAUUGAAUCAAAUAAAGGGUAUGAUUUGGUUAACGGUUUAGAAGAACAAGAAAAAGGAGAAGGUGAAAAAGAGGGAGAAGAACCCAAGCAUAAACUGGUGGCAUCUAUAACAUCUAUAGAACCAAUGUCAGAAUCAUUACACCAACAUAUAAACAUAUCCAAUGUUAACACUUUACAAAUAAAAAAUAAUUAUAGUACUCCUAUUCAAAGUGCUCCUAUUCAAAACGCUCCUAUUCAAAGCGCUCCUAUUCAAAAUGGUAAUGACACUUCCAAAUAUAGGUCACCUUUCAACAAAUGCAACUGUAAUAAAAAUAAUGAAAAAAAAAAUAUAUUAUAUAAUAAAGGAUUAGUUAUGAAUAAUAGUAUUAAUGCUCGUAAUAUGUUAAUACCUUAUUGGGAUUUCUUAGAUUCGGAUACUUCAGAACAAAGUCAAAAAAAUGUAAUUAUUAUGAAUGCAAUACCGGAACACGAGGAAUAUAAAAAUAUUUCAUUAUACUCAAAACCUCCUUGUUUUUACGCACCAGUAUUUAUGUGUCUAUUUAAAAUUAUUCUUAGCUAUUCUUUAUAUAAUUUUAAUGAUAAAAAUAAAAAAAUUAUUAAAAAACAGAAAGAAGAUAAAUUUUACUUAGAUGAAGAAAAAAAAGGUAUUACAACGUUGUCAUCUUUAUCUAAUAAUUCCUUUUUUAAAAAUGAAAAAGUGGAUAUUUUACAACAAAAUAAAACCUGUACCUGUGUUGGGAGUGGUAAAACAAAUAAGUUGGGAUUUGUACAUGAUAAAAAAUGUAUAAAUAGUGGCAUUACUAUAAAUGACACAACGUUAUCUGCUACCAAAGCCAACAAAGAGAAUAUUCGUUUUCUUUCAACCGAAAAACAACACAAUUUAAUAAAAUUAUGCAUCGAUACAUUAUAUUUUUUUAAAGGUUAUAAUACUGAAUUGUGUAUCACAAUAUUACAAAUUAUAGAAUACUUAACUACAACAUAUAAUAACGUUGUAUAUUUUUUAUAUUAUUCCCCACCAAAUAUAUAUAGUAAUUUCAAACAAUUUUUUAAAAUGCAAGUAAACCAAAUACAUCAUAAACAAAAAUGUAUAGCUAAUAAUAAGUUUGGGAAAGUGGAUCAACAGUUAGAAAGUGAAAACAUAUCAGACAAUACAGUAGGAGGGAAUGUACAAAAUGUAAAAAUAGAUAGUAGUAAUAGUAGUACUAACCCAUUGAAAUAUAUGAAUGGAUAUACUAAUACAAUGGAUGAUUAUCCCGACUUAAAUGAUAUAAUUCUAAAUAACAUAACCAGAAGCAGUAUUGGUAUUUUACUUACAAUAACAAGACAAGCGAAGUUUAAAGAUAUGUUAAUAAUGAUUAUAAAUAUUUUAAUUCAAUGUUUUACAGAUAAUUAUGUGAUUGCUAGUAAAAUUGAGUAUAGUAUACAAUCCUAUUUUUUACAACAUGGUAUAAAAGUAAAACAUAUUUUAAAAACAAAUGAUUUGAAUUCGAUCAAAAAUCCACACAUUUCAAAUGCGUUAGGUGUAUCUUUAAACGAUUUAAAUGAAGCUUUAUAUCCUUUUAUUUUUAAAAACCCACAACUGUAUGAAGAAAUAUUAACUUCCUUAUGUUUUUUUCCCCAAUUUAAAAUAUGUAAGAACUGA